AACGAACGCUGGCGGCAGGCCUAACACAUGCAAGUCGCACGAACCUUCGGGUUAGUGGCGCACGGGUGCGUAACACGUGGGAAUAUACCCUUAGGUACGGAAUAACGUCUGGAAACGGACGCUAAUACCGUAUAAUGACUCCGGUCCAAAGAUUUAUCGCCUAAGGAUUAGCCCGCGCCUGAUUAGUUAGUUGGCGAGGUAACGGCUCACCAAGACAAUGAUCAGUAGGGGGUCUGAGAGGAUGAUCCCCCACACUGGGACUGAGACACGGCCCAGACUCCUACGGGAGGCAGCAGUGAGGAAUAUUGCGCAAUGGAGGAAACUCUGACGCAGCCAUGCCGCGUGAGUGAUGAAGGCCUUAGGGUUGUAAAGCUCUUUCAAUAGUGAAGAUAAUGACGGUAACUAUAGAAGAAGCUCCGGCUAAAUUCGUG
Molecule: ribosomal RNA, 431 nt
Filed under: uncultured bacterium
Lineage: Bacteria
Description: bacterial SSU rRNA
Rfam family: Bacterial small subunit ribosomal RNA
Source: RNAcentral